This 227-nucleotide long non-coding RNA is filed under the name Elaeis guineensis (African oil palm). RNAcentral's name for it is "long non-coding RNA (EGUI_LNC052860)". Lineage: Eukaryota; Viridiplantae; Streptophyta; Magnoliopsida; Arecales; Arecaceae. The record is from RNAcentral.
CUUGUACACAUAGUAGCAUCUCCUAUCCUCUCGAAAAGUGCUUGGGUAUGCUUAAUAGAGGAUGUAGAGAAAAUCAUUUCUCAUAGAAGAUGGGAGCAUAGAGAUGAUCCCAUAGCCUACAACAAGAUGAUGUGAGACAUUGACUCUAAGAAAGAGAUGUGAAAUAGCUUUCCUGAGAAGAGAUCUUCUGAAGAUUUCUAUAUGAAAUAGCCUAUGUAUUUUACUUC